GCACAAGCGGUGGAGCAUGUGGUUUAAUUCGACGCAACGCGCAGAACCUUACCUGGUCUUGACAUCCUCGGAACCUCUCAGAGAUGAGGGGGUGCCCGCAAGGGAACCGAGAGACAGGUGCUGCAUGGCUGUCGCCAGCUCGUGUCGUGAGAUGUUGGGUUAAGUCCCGCAACGAGCGCAACCCUCGCCUUUAGUUGCCGCGCAAGCGGAUCUCUAGAGGGACUGCCGGUGUUAAACCGGAGGAAGGUGGGGAUGACGUCAAGUCCCCAUGGCCUUUAUGACCGGGGCUACACACGUGCUACAAUGGCCGGUACAACGCGUCGCCAACUCGCGAGAGGGAGCUAAUCGCAUAAAACCGGUCUCAGUUCAGAUUGGAGUCUGCAACUCGACUCCAUGAAGGCGGAAUCGCUAGUAAUCGCGGAUCAGCACGUCGCGGUGAAUACGUUCCCGGGC
This 453-nucleotide ribosomal RNA is filed under the name uncultured soil bacterium. Its description in RNAcentral is "bacterial SSU rRNA". It matches the Rfam family "Bacterial small subunit ribosomal RNA", at positions 923 to 1379 of the family's 1533-position model. The record is from RNAcentral.